RNAcentral lists this ribosomal RNA (430 nucleotides) under uncultured prokaryote. RNAcentral describes it as "bacterial SSU rRNA". It matches the Rfam family "Bacterial small subunit ribosomal RNA", at positions 355 to 776 of the family's 1533-position model. RNAcentral also lists the same sequence under 1 other name. The record is from RNAcentral.
UGGGGAAUCUUCCGCAAUGGACGAAAGUCUGACGGAGCAACGCCGCGUGAGUGAAGAAGGUCUUCGGAUUGUAAAGCUCUGUCGUUUGGGACGAACGUGGGUAAGGUGAAUAAUCUUAUCUAAUGACGGUACCAAAGGAGGAAGCCACGGCUAACUACGUGCCAGCAGCCGCGGUAAUACGUAGGUGGCAAGCGUUGUCCGGAAUUAUUGGGCGUAAAGGGCGUGUAGGUGGGUAAUUAAGUCGUGUGUCUAAGUGCGGAGCUCAACUCCGUAUGGGCGCAGGAAACUGGUUAUCUUGAGUGCAGGAGAGGAAAGUGGAAUUCCCAGUGUAGCGGUGAAAUGCGUAGAUAUUGGGAGGAACACCAGUGGCGAAGGCGACUUUCUGGACUGUGUCUGACACUGAGGCGCGAAAGCUAGGGGAGCGAACGGG